UGGGGAAUUGUUCGCAAUGGGCGAAAGCCUGACGGAGUGACGCCGCGUGUGGGAUGAAGGCCUUCGGGUCGUAAACCACUGUCAGUGGGAAAGAUGGGUGUCGGCGUGAUAACCGCCGGCAUCUGACGGUACCUGCAGAGGAAGCCCCGGCUAACUCUGUGCCAGCAGCCGCGGUAAGACAGAGGGGGCAAGCGUUGCUCGGAAUUACUGGGCGUAAAGGGCGCGUAGGCGGGAUGGCAAGUCGGUCGUGAAAUCCCUCGGCUCAACUGAGGAGCGUCGAUCGAAACUGCCGUUCUUGAGGGUUGCAGAGGAGACUGGAAUUCCCGGUGUAGCGGUGAAAUGUGUAGAGAUCGGGAGGAACACCGGUGGCGAAGGCGGGUCUCUGGGCAACUCCUGACGCUGAGGCGCGAAAGCGUGGGGAGCAAACGGGAUUAGAUACCCCGGUAGUCCACGCUGUAAACGAUGACGACUAGGUGUGGGGGGGUUCAGUCCCUUCCGUGCCGCAGCUAACGCAUUAAGUCGUCCGCCUGGGGAGUACGGCCGCAAGGUUGC
RNAcentral lists this ribosomal RNA (552 nucleotides) under uncultured bacterium. RNAcentral describes it as "bacterial SSU rRNA". It matches the Rfam family "Bacterial small subunit ribosomal RNA", at positions 355 to 897 of the family's 1533-position model. The record is from RNAcentral.